AAGAGGAAAAGAAGAUAGGCCAUUUUGUUUCAUGUAUCGAAAACAAAAUUUUAAAUAAUUUUAAAUAAUUUUAAGAUGUAUCAACAUUUAAAGAAACAUUUGGCUGGUCAACUUGAACUAUUGGAUGAGUCAAAUGUUUAUCUACAGAGUAGCAUCAGUGAUUUUGUACAGCAGAUUAAGAUCAGAGCCACUACUGACUCCAAUAAAGAUGUGAAAGAUGCUAUUGCUAUGGUAACAGCUGCUCAAAGUACUUUGCAUGAACUCACAUAUAUAUUUACAG
Molecule: long non-coding RNA, 280 nt
Organism: Physella acuta
Lineage: Eukaryota; Metazoa; Mollusca; Gastropoda; Physidae
Source: RefSeq, a predicted model, not a curated record